RNAcentral lists this long non-coding RNA (252 nucleotides) under Musa acuminata (dwarf banana). RNAcentral describes it as "long non-coding RNA (MACU_LNC010675)". The record is from RNAcentral. Lineage: Eukaryota; Viridiplantae; Streptophyta; Magnoliopsida; Zingiberales; Musaceae.
CCUAUUCUAGUUUCAUUCCUUUGGAUAUCGAAUUCAUCUAACCUUCUUAUUUGAAUUGAGUUGUAUGUGAUUGCUUGGAUUCCAUGUGUGCCCUUGCUUUCAUUUCCUUUCAAAUCUGAAUAUAAUUGUGAAAGAUUAUUGCUUACUUCGUAUUGACUCGUAAAGGCACAUGUACGUUUUGUUGUUCCGCGUGUGCUUCCGAUAUGUGCUAUUCAUUGUUCAUACUAUCCUUUUGUACUCUGGUGUUUGUGG